CAACCCAGUUUAGAUUUUUGUAGUGUAGGUUUAUUUUUUCCUAAUUUAAUUUGUUUAGAAUCAACAAUUUCCCAGUAAACAUCAGCACCUAGCAGUAUGUCUAUUUCAGAGGGUAUAUAGUAGGUAGGAUCUGCUAGGUUUAUAGAUUUAGGAAAGUUCAAAUCAGAGGAGUCAAUAAAGGAAUUAGGCAAUGUGCCAGUAAUCUGAGGCACAACAAGACAUUUUACAUUAGUCUGAAAUAAGUUAAUCCGCGAUUUAAGUUUUAUGUUACACAUUUUAUUAGUAUUAGUCACUUUAUUAUUUAUACCAGCAAUUGAUAUGUUUGUAUUGGAACAAGACAAGUUCAUUUUUCUCUGCAAUCUUUCAGUAAUGAAUGAAGACUGACUUCCAUUGUCUAAGAGAGCUUUAACCGUAUAAUUCUCAGAAGAUCGACUGUCAAUUAUAUUGACUUGAGCAGUGCAUAGCAGGAUCUGCCCAGGUUUUGCCACAGAGUGUGACACAGGAUUAAACAAAGCAAUAGUAGAAGUUACCUGGGAAGAACUAGCUUCUUGAGGAGAAUUUGCAAGAGUGAUGAUUACAGUGAGUGGAGAAAUGACCAGGACGCAGACAAUUAUGACAAAGCUUAUGCUUGGAAAUUUCAUUAAAUCUAGCAUCUACAGACAUAUUCUUAAACUUUUCACAUUUAUAUAGUAAAUGAUCUUGUGAACAUA
This is a long non-coding RNA of Helicoverpa zea (corn earworm), 710 nucleotides long. RefSeq lists it as uncharacterized. The transcript is spliced from 2 exons. Lineage: Eukaryota; Metazoa; Arthropoda; Insecta; Lepidoptera; Noctuidae. The record is from RefSeq and is a predicted model, not a curated record.